AUAAAAAAAUGACUUUUAUGAGAUAACACCAUAUAUGGCAGCUUACAUUCAGUGUAAGAGGCAGAACUAAAUAUCUCUACGUGGCUAAUUUCAGACAGCUCCUAAAGUUGAGCAAAAUUUGCUCUCACAUUUAGAAUUAUGGAGGUGUUAAAGCCAGGUUUAUCCAUAAAUACUUCACCAAAUAUUCAAGUAAUGUCCAAAAUACCUGCACAGCACAUAACCUGCACCCCUAUUUGGCACUUUCAGCUAGAACUGUAGAUUUUGCUGCUCAUGUGACUAUAGCAUACCUAAACUCUAAGAAUUGCUAUCACAAUUUAAGCUAUGAGUGUGGCAUUAUGGAACGUAUACCAAAUGCUUCUAGUUGCAGAGCAUUCAUGAGGAAAUAAAAAUCAGGUUGUUGCAUUUAAGUUGCGGCCAGUACAUAGUCUUUCCAGGGGCUAGGGAGAAACAGGUAUCUCUCUCAAUUACUGGUACUAUAUACAGUGAAAACGUUUGUUCAAAAUUCAGGAUAAAAACACUACCAGUAACAAUUUAUGAAUACUUAUUUACACAGGAUACUUUUCGUUAGAAUUACAGACAUCAAAGUAGACAAAGGAAUAUGUGCAAUUUUGCAGAAGCAUUGAAAACACUCAAAACUAUAAAUAGUUUGAUAAUUUUACACACAGGCUGAUGUCGAUCUACUGAGGAAAAACUAAGGUUUUGUGCCACAACUAUAAAUUAAGUACAGUAAUUUAUAAUCAUUCUGGCAACACAGAUAGCUGCACUGAACAGUGCAAUACUACUGAAUCAAUCCACUGAUCUAAUGAAGAUCAAAGUACAAAUCUGUAUUUUUAUUGAUUUGGCAGCGUUGCUUAUGGAGAAACAAAUGCACUAGUCAAACCAGCACAUUUUCAUACUGCUCCAGUUACAAAAAACAUCCAAGACUUUCAUAUUAGCUACAAAUAUUUCAUAACUCCAUUAUUUUACCCCAAAUGAUGACAUCCAUGUGAAUUUUAUAAGCAAAGAUACUCAGUUUGGAUCCUUCAUUCUGUUACACUAACAAACAUACACCACCACUUAAUAAAUAGAAAUGCAGCAGUUCAUUCACAUAAUAGCAAAGAUUUUUGUACCCUAAUCCACCACUGCAGUUCAGUUUGUACAAAACAGUCUUUUCUACAGAGUGGAAAAAAAUACCUUCUUUUUAUCAAGGUGCGAGCUAAGCUUUGAAAAUUAAAUGAAUGUGCUUUUAUUUUUUAUGGACAAUAAAAGUUUCAUGAACUUUCCAUUCUAUCUGAAAAUGUGUAAAAUCAGUCAGAUAUGGAUUUCUUCAUUAUUUUACAUUUGAUGGAUUAUUUCAAUUUCACUGACGUUGUGCUUUUAUUCCUCUUGAACAAUACUGUUCCAAAAACUGUUAUGUAGAUUAAAUCAAUCCAAAUGACAACUUCAGAGUUCUAGAAACACAAGGGUCCUCAUUGUAAUACAAGGCCAACCUAAAGUAAGGAGCAAAAUGCAGUAGUUAAUGCAAGUAUAGCAACAAAUAUUGGCUUUUUGAACUUAAUUAUGAAUCUUAGAUGUUCAAUUUAAAAACAAAUUAAAAGUUUUGUCUGUUUUGA
Molecule: non-coding RNA, 1592 nt
Organism: Chelonoidis abingdonii (Abingdon island giant tortoise)
Lineage: Eukaryota; Metazoa; Chordata; Testudines; Testudinidae
Source: RefSeq, a predicted model, not a curated record